This 394-nucleotide ribosomal RNA is filed under the name uncultured bacterium. Its description in RNAcentral is "partial 16S ribosomal RNA". It matches the Rfam family "Bacterial small subunit ribosomal RNA", at positions 523 to 918 of the family's 1533-position model. The record is from RNAcentral.
AUACGUAGGGAGCGAGCGUUAUCCGGAAUUACUGGGCGUAAAGGGCGCGUAGGCGGCGCUUCAAGUCGUCUGUCAAAUGGAAGGGCUUAACCCUUUUUCGCAGACGAAACUGGAGAGCUUGAGAAGCAGAGAGGCACACAGAAUUCCUGGUGUAGCGGUGAAAUGCGUAGAUAUCAGGAAGAAUACCAGUGGCGAAGGCGGUUUGCUGGCUGCAUACUGACGCUGAAGCGCGAAAGCCAGGGGAGCGAACGGGAUUAGAUACCCCGGUAGUCCUGGCAGUAAACGAUGUAUGCUGGGUGUGAGACUAGCGAUAGUUUCGUGCCGAAGUUAACGCGAUAAGCAUACCGCCUGGGGAGUACGGUCGCAAGGUUGAAACUCAAAUGAAUUGACGGGG